RNAcentral lists this long non-coding RNA (1745 nucleotides) under Bos grunniens (domestic yak). RNAcentral's name for it is "lncRNA (ENSBGRG00000025802.1)". The record is from RNAcentral. Lineage: Eukaryota; Metazoa; Chordata; Mammalia; Artiodactyla; Bovidae.
CCCCAGUCUUGUGGAUCUCCUGCACUAAAGCCCUGCUGGCCUUCAGGGCCAAAUUCUUUGAGGAUUCCUACUCCUAAUGCCAGACCCUCAGGCCAGGGAGCCUGAGGUGAACCUGAGGACUCUUACUCUUAUGGGAAGACCUCUGCAAUGUAAUUAUUUUUCAGUUGUGCAUCACCCACCUAACGUUAUUUGACUGUGUCAUGAAAGCACGCCUCCUGUUUUCUCGUUGUGGCUUCUUUGUCUUGAAUGUAGGAUAUCUUUUGUCAUAAUUUCCAGUCUCUUUUAUCAGUGGUUUUCAGCAGUUAGCUGUGGUUUCGGUGUUUCCAGGAGAGGUAGUGAGCUCAAGUCCUACUCUGCUCCUUUGUUUUGUUGUUGUUUUGUUUGUUUCAUAGCACAAGAGUAUAAACAUAUUUAAUACCACUGAACUGUACCCUUAAAAAUGUUCAAGGUGAUAAAUACUCUUGUUUUAUUUGUUUUAUCACAGCAAAAAAUUAGAAAAAAUGAACAAGUAUCUGGUAUACAAAGAAACAUGAAUAAUUUUCACAAACCUAUUAUACAGUAAAGAUGCAAGAUAUCAGUAGCACAUACCUUAAUAUUCCAAUUAUGUAAUGAUCAAAUUAGACAAUAUGUUGUAUUUAAGAAAUCUUGUUUUGGUAGGAAAACAAGAAAGAGAUGUAAGGAAGUGGUUACUAUAACAUUCUUGUUCUCUCUCAGGUGGAAAGAGAGUAGUUUGGAAGGGGCAUGACAGUAUCUUCACGGAUGCUGUCUGUGUUGCUUUAUUUUUUUUUUUUUUUUUCUUUAAUGUUGAGUUGCCAAAAGCUAAACCAGAAGUUGCAUGGAAAGGUUUUUAAAAAGUAUUAUUUAGAAUCUCCAAAUCUCCAGUAAAUCACGGUCUUAGUGCAUUUUGAAUUGCAACAUUUCUUGGAAGCCGCACUUAGUAAAUAGAUUUAUGACUCCACUGCCAAUUAGAUUCCACAGUUUCCUUUACAGAACUACCAAUAACAAUGGUUUGAUUGCACAAAGGCUUGUGCAACGCCAUUCAAUAAUAAGGCCCCUUGAGCUCAAACAAUGCAAACAAAGCCCUAUUUAAGACUUUUUAAAAUGUAGUUCUCGGCCAAUGAAGAAUUCAAUGGUCUUUUUGAAAGAUUUCCAAGAUCUCUGUUCAGAGUUUUAAAACAAAUAACACACUGCUUCUGUUGGGAAUGUAUACCCUCCUCUCUCUCUACUUGUCCUGAUGUUUUGCCGAGGGUAUGAGCUUCCUCAGACAGAAACAGUGAGUCUCCUCUCGGAAGAGAUGAGAAAAACAAAAGCUGGACUAUGUUAACAUUGUUUGAAAAUGGUGUGAUCAAAUUCCAACAUGAUGAAACCAGACUGAAAUCAUUGCAGCGGGGAAAACAAAUGCCCCCUCUUCAGAACAGAUAGGUGCGCUCCACAGGGGACACAGGCCCCGGUUUUGAGAAACAAACUCAUAGACACCAUGUAGGAUCUAGUCCGUGUCAGCCGCAGAAACACUGGCGUUUCCCCUUCUUCCGUGUCCUCUGAUUCUGUGACCAUUCAGUCUAGUGCAACUUUCUUAUAUAUGUUCCAGCCAGCAUUUUGCCAGCUGCAAUUGAGAUUAUUUUCCCCCACUCUAUCUUGUGCAAUAGCAGGAUAAUCUGCAUUCACACAUUUAUAAUCUAAAUUCUACUAGUCUAUCUAUGGUUCUAUUAAAUAUAUAUAUAUGUAUAUAUUAUUCCACAGGAAGG